Molecule: ribosomal RNA, 254 nt
Filed under: uncultured bacterium
Lineage: Bacteria
Description: partial 16S ribosomal RNA
Rfam family: Bacterial small subunit ribosomal RNA
Source: RNAcentral
UACGUAGGGGGCAAGCGUUUAUCCGGAAUCAUUGGGCGUAAAGCGCGUGUAGGCGGUUCCGUAAGUCCGCUCUGAAAGCCCAGGGCUCAACCCUGGGAGGCGGGUGGAUACUACGGAACUGGAGUACGGAAGAGGAGAUUGGAAUUCCUGGUGUAGCGGUGAAAUGCGCAGAUAUCAGGAGGAACACCAACAGCGAAGGCAGAUCUCUGGGACGUUACUGACGCUGAGACGCGAAAGCGUGGGGAGCGAACAGG